UACGGGGGGAGCAAGCGUUGUUCGGAUUUACUGGGCGUAAAGGGCGCGUAGGCGGCCACUGCAAGUCAGUUGUGAAAUCUCCGGGCUUAACUCGGAAAGGCCAACUGAUACUGCAGGGCUAGAGUGCGGAAGGGGCAACUGGAAUUCCAGGUGUAGCGGUGAAAUGCGUAGAUAUCUGGAGGAACACCGGUGGCGAAGGCGGCGUCCUGGACCAACACUGACACUGAUGAGCGAAAGCCAGGGGAGCAAACGGG
Molecule: ribosomal RNA, 254 nt
Filed under: uncultured prokaryote
Description: partial 16S ribosomal RNA
Rfam family: Bacterial small subunit ribosomal RNA
Source: RNAcentral